This 69-nucleotide transfer RNA is filed under the name Lutjanus erythropterus (crimson snapper). Its description in RNAcentral is "tRNA-His". It matches the Rfam family "tRNA". Rfam says of the family: Transfer RNA (tRNA) molecules are approximately 80 nucleotides in length. The record is from RNAcentral. Lineage: Eukaryota; Metazoa; Chordata; Actinopteri; Lutjaniformes; Lutjanidae. RNAcentral also lists the same sequence under 1 other name.
GUAGAUAUAGUUUAGCUAAAACAUUAGAUUGUGAUUCUAAAAACAGAGGUUAAAAUCCCCUUAUCCACC